AAGAAAUGAUUUGGUCCUCUCCCAAUGGCUCUUGUAUUUGAAGGCAUGCCCUUUAUUCUAUUACUAUUAAAAGCAUCUGUCCUGAAAAAAAACAUUUAUUAUUGAGUUUGUCAUGCCACAGGGUUGAGCAAAAAAAAAUGCUGCCAGAAUUGAAAGAAGCUUGUUUGUCUUGAAGAAAAAAAAAUCAAAUAAUAAUAAAAGGCUCUGGUUCCCUUGACCGAAUUUACAAAUCAUUGUUUUGUGAAAUAUGAAAAGAGAAAGUAAUCAAGCCACAGAUAUGAUUGCAUUAUUAUUGAUUGAAAAAUCUAAUCCAAUAUUAAAUCCCAAUUGCAAAAUUGAGAGCAAAAAGACUGUUUUAGAAUGAUUCAGUCCUAGUCUUUAAUCAUUGGAACGCUUUCAUAUAUACAGCAUGUGAAAAUAUUGUUAGCGGUUACAAUACAUGCCUUAUUGAGAAUUGACAUUCUUGUCGCCGAGAAUGUCUCUGAUCUGUAAGUAUCCAAAACCACAAUAUGUAAUCAUAUAGUCAAGUCAAUAGCGCUCAGCGUCAUAAAAGUUCCAUUUUCUUGUCCUUUUUUUUAUUUGCUAGUGAAUGCCAUUAGAUUGUGAAGCCGUGUGUUUAUUGAGGUCAAUAAAACUAGAUCACUGAUAACAAUCAAAUGUGAAAUGUGCAUUCUAUUCAAGAUAAGCUUUCAGAGUAACUAGGCCACAAUUCAGUCAGAGCAAAGUCUCUGUCUAUAUUUGCCCACGUCAUUUAUGUUUACAGCAAUAAAAGUCUCCGUCUCAACCGACUGUACUUUUCCAUCACCCCCGUCUUUUCUUGCUUCUGUAUUUCUUUUCUUUUUUAAUUAACCAUCUUUUCCUCUGUGUUGUCAUUUCUUGACAUCUUGUGCAAGGGUCACCUUUGUUUAUGUUCUCUUUUUUUCCUGACUCACUGGUUACUGUUUUACCACAGCAGACCAAAAAAACAAUCCAAGUUUAACAGCCCCCCUUUUUUUUUGCCAUUGACCUGACUUUCUGUACAGUAUGACAUUUCUUUGUGGUCUCAAGCUUACUCAUUAGUCACACAAGUGUUGUUCGAAGGUUUAUAAUUACCAUAACAUUGGUGCUCAUUUCCUUCCGCAUUAUAAUAUCAGUACUGGGAAAUGCACUAACAAAAGAAAUUCCCUAAAAUCAUGGUACUGACCAAUGUUACACUAAAUUAUGUCGACAUGCUGCUCCACGACACGUGAAAUAUGAAUAGAAUAAUUCUAAUAAUGAAACUCAACUAUGAGUCACUUUCAAAUUCGUUGCUUUGUGACGAACGUCAUGCCGGCUCAUCUGCCGCACACUCAUGGCAACAAGACUGGUGCAGUACCGUCCGGACUCGCUGCUUGUAAUGUUUGAUCUUCCUCUCGGCCGCUGCAUGCUGGUUUUAAUGAAUUACAGCAAGCACUCGAGCGUUUCCCAGCUGAACUCUUUCCUUUCUUCCAUCUCCUCACACUCAGACAACUAACCUGUUCAUUUUAGCCCGCAUUGUUAUUAAGCAAAGGGGGAAAAAAAAAAAAUCAUUUAGAAAAGCAAUUUGCCUGAGAAUGAAAUGUUGUUAGGUGCGUCAUGAUUGUUGUCAAUCAGCACAAAUGGUGAUUCAUCGACAUACAUAGGUAUCCGUAAUUGUCAGGGCUACUGUUAAAUCAUACGCUACCCAUUUUGUUUUGAGCAGCAUGGUUUAGAUUUAAAAAAAUAAUAAUAAUAAAUAAAUACCAGUGCUACUUAUCAGAAAUGAUUGCUAUAGGUCGACGCUAAUCUGUGUGUUCCAAAAAUCUCAAUGCAGCUCUGCUUACCUAUUGACUUUUGUUUUUUUUCUCCCAAAAAGCCAUCAUUUGAAAGUGGCUCUAGAUUUUCACCCAGCUAGCUGAUCAGUUAAUGGCUGCAAAUGCUUUGUGUGUGUGUGUGUGUUAUUAUGUAAAUGAGCCCCACGGUUAUAUAACAGCCAGACAAAAUUGCUGAUCCCCGUCUGUUCUUGAAUUAGACUGGCUCAACCUGCAGAUCAAGAACUUUCCCAUAUUCCCUUACUUACAGCGAGGUGGAUCGCAGCAGCAGCAACAUAAAUAACAGUGCGAGAGUGCGACAAGCUCGCUUAGUCACGUUGUUCCCUCAGCGCCGUUGCUAUGGAGCUGAACUCCAAGAUGUUGGCCGAACAUGGAAGAGUCAUCAAUAGUGGCACCUAUUUGGAUGCUGGACGAUAUCAACGAGAAAUAACAAUAGGACCUUCCGAUUUAAUUGAUUCCGUCAUUCAGCCCUGGAAUGGAAAUGAUGAAAAAAUAACAAUCGAGCAUUUUUGUCGUAUUCUCCAGUCGCAUAUGAAUGCUUGGCCUUGUUUACCGUUGACAGCGUGAACUUGUCGACCAGAGGAUGGAAAGUCGGGAAGGUUACCUCGUCUCCCUCUCUGACUGGCGUAAACUCGUUGCUUUACGGUGAAACGAUUGUUGAACUUUCACGAGGCGAAGAUAAUGAUAAUUGUUUUGUUUCCCGCCAUCCGAUGUUUUUCUGCGAUGACUCCAAGGAUAAUUGACCCCCGUCAUGAAUCGAACUAAGCCAUGCUUGUUGUUUUCCUCUAAAAUAGGAAUGAAACUGGCACAUUGGAGCACAUCUGGUCAGACAUAUUUUGAACAUUUGUAUUUUCUCCCAUAUCCUUUUGUAAAUCAUGUCGUUCCUCCUCGAGAAGUGAAUCGAUGUGCCUCAAGUCGCUGGACGAGAUAAGAGACUGUGAAAGACGUUUUCUCUGAGAGUUAAUGAUUGGCUGAUUUACAUUUUAUCAAGAGUGUGUGUGUGUGUGUGUGUGUGUGUGGUUAGUACAAAUAGCAUUUGUCUCAUAUGGACUCUAAUUAGAAAGCGUCGUUUUCUUCUUCGGUGGAUCACGUUGCACGGCUUCUGAAUAAAUUAAGUGUUGUUUAA
Molecule: long non-coding RNA, 2934 nt
Organism: Syngnathus typhle (broad-nosed pipefish)
Lineage: Eukaryota; Metazoa; Chordata; Actinopteri; Syngnathiformes; Syngnathidae
Exons: 2
Source: RefSeq, a predicted model, not a curated record